RNAcentral lists this ribosomal RNA (357 nucleotides) under Triticum aestivum (bread wheat). RNAcentral's name for it is "partial small subunit ribosomal RNA". Lineage: Eukaryota; Viridiplantae; Streptophyta; Magnoliopsida; Poales; Poaceae. The record is from RNAcentral.
AUGUGCAUCCUUCAAGGCUGCCUGGAUUACGCCAUUGGUUGGGCCGUCCUUAGCCGAACUGUUUGGAGCCAAAGAGAAAUCUCGAGCUUUGUUGACCAUGCUGGUGAUGGGAAUCAGAUGACAGUCUCGCUUGCCAGGGAGGUGAUGCGCCUGCAGCUAGACCAAAAGAGCCGCAUGGCUAUGGCGAAGGACAUCGUCCUGUUCACCGCGCCGUUCAUUUUGGACCUGCCGACACAUAUUGAUCUGGGUUGGGGUCGAGCUGCUGGACUUUGCCCAAGCUCUUGCCUUGCCAAGUCCAAGUCGGCUCUCGCAGAUGAACACCAUACACGUGCAUGCUUGUUCGUCUCUACGGGCUAG